This 468-nucleotide ribosomal RNA is filed under the name uncultured bacterium. RNAcentral's name for it is "partial 16S ribosomal RNA". It matches the Rfam family "Bacterial small subunit ribosomal RNA", at positions 28 to 507 of the family's 1533-position model. The record is from RNAcentral.
GACGAACGCUGGCGGCGUGCUUAACACAUGCAAGUCGAACGGAAAGGCCCUGCUUUUGUGGGGUGCUCGAGUGGCGAACGGGUGAGUAACACGUGAGUAACCUGCCCUUGACUUUGGGAUAACUUUAGGAAACUGGGGCUAAUACCGGAUAGGAGCUCCUGCUGCAUGGUGGGGGUUGGAAAGUUUCGGCGGUUGGGGAUGGACUCGCGGCUUAUCAGCUUGUUGGUGGGGUAGUGGCUUACCAAGGCUUUGACGGGUAGCCGGCCUGGGAGGGUGACCGGCCACAUUGGGACUGAGAUACGGCCCAGACUCCUACGGGAGGCAGCAGUGGGGAAUAUUGCACAAUGGGCGGAAGCCUGAUGCAGCAACGCCGCGUGCGGGAUGACGGCCUUCGGGUUGUAAACCGCUUUCGCCUGUGACGAAGCGUGAGUGACGGUAAUGGGUAAAGAAGCACCGGCUAACUACGUG